RNAcentral lists this ribosomal RNA (465 nucleotides) under uncultured bacterium. RNAcentral's name for it is "partial 16S ribosomal RNA". It matches the Rfam family "Bacterial small subunit ribosomal RNA", at positions 28 to 507 of the family's 1533-position model. The record is from RNAcentral.
GACGAACGCUGGCGGCGUGCUUAACACAUGCAAGUCGAACGGAAAGGCCCUGCUUGCAGGGUACUCGAGUGGCGAACGGGUGAGUAACACGUGGGUGAUCUGCCCUGCACUUCGGGAUAAGCCUGGGAAACUGGGUCUAAUACCGGAUAGGAGCCAUUUUGAGUGUGAUGGUUGGAAAGUUUUUUCGGUGUAGGAUGAGCUCGCGGCCUAUCAGCUUGUUGGUGGGGUAAUGGCCUACCAAGGCGGCGACGGGUAGCCGGCCUGAGAGGGUGGCCGGCCACCUUGGGACCUAGGGGAGGCCCAGACGCCGACGGGUGGCAGAUGGGGGGAACAUUGCACAAGGGGCGCAAGCCUGAUGCAGAGAGGCCGCGUGGGGGAUGACGGCCUUCGGGUGGAAGACACCUUUUGCUAGGGACGAAGCGGUUUGUGACGGUACCUAGAGAAGAAGCACCGGCUAACUACGUG